Long non-coding RNA from Drosophila pseudoobscura, 470 nucleotides. RefSeq lists it as uncharacterized. Lineage: Eukaryota; Metazoa; Arthropoda; Insecta; Diptera; Drosophilidae. The transcript has 2 exons. The record is from RefSeq and is a predicted model, not a curated record.
UCAGUUGCUUGCGCACAGUGAAUCGCGAAACAAGCGCAGGCCCCGCGCCUCACACAACAACAGCAACAACUGCAGCAGCAGCGGCGUCUGGCUGGUCGCGCGCCAAACCGUUACGAAGAGAGCGAAACGAAAAUUGAGUUCUGCAAGAAAUUUACAAGUGUCUGCCAGUGGCUGUGUGUACGUGUGUACGUGCGCGGGAUCAUUGCACAUUGCGUCAACGUUUCAAGAUCACAAUUACCCCCAACAGUAGAGGCCCCGCCCCGACCCGCCCCGCCCUGUACUAGCAGCAGCUGUUGCUGCGGGUGCGCGGGCGCGCGCGCUCGGGUGUCGGGGCAAUGAGCAAUUACAAAAAUUCAAUAGAGCCCCAUCGUCAGAGCAACAAUCACAAAUAUACAUACAACAAAAAACAUACUUAAAAAAAAAAACUAUCAACAAUACACCCGCAACAGAAAACAGCCGCAAGCACCAGC